GUGGAAACACUCACCUAGAGCCUGACAUCCUGGAAUGUAAAGUCAAGUAGACCUAAGCUAGUGGAGGUGAUGGAAUUCCAGUUGAGCUGUUUUUAAUCCUAAAAGAUAGUGCUGUGAAAGUGCUGCACUCAAGAUGCCAGCAAAUUUGGAAAACUCAGCAGAGGCCACAGGACUGGAAAAGCACCAUGCGGCAUGCAGGAUCUUAGGUCCGAGCCCCUGCAAGUGGAAGUGUAAUCUUAGCCACUUGACCGCCAGGGAAUUCCCAAGGCAUGUGUGAACCUUUCCCAGAAAUGGUUAUUAAUUUCAAAGCAAAAGAAGUAACUUCACAGUGGAGAAGCCUGGCAGGCGCCUCCUUAAUCAAAUAAACUGGACAACAUGAGGAAC
Bos taurus (domestic cattle) is the source of this 384-nucleotide long non-coding RNA. Lineage: Eukaryota; Metazoa; Chordata; Mammalia; Artiodactyla; Bovidae. The record is from Ensembl.